GAUGAACGCUAGCGGCAGGCCUAACACAUGCAAGUCGAGGGGUAGACAUCUUCGGAUGUUGAGACCGGCGCACGGGUGCGUAACGCGUAUGCAAUCUACCUUUUGCAGGGGAAUAGCCCAGAGAAAUUUGGAUUAAUGCCCCAUAGUAUAAUGAUAAGGCAUCUUAUUAUUAUUAAAGUCACAACGGCAAAAGAUGAGCAUGCGUCCCAUUAGCUAGUUGGUAAGGUAACGGCUUACCAAGGCAAUGAUGGGUAGGGGUCCUGAGAGGGAGAUCCCCCACACUGGUACUGAGACACGGACCAGACUCCUACGGGAGGCAGCAGUGAGGAAUAUUGGACAAUGGGCGCAAGCCUGAUCCAGCCAUGCCGCGUGCAGGAAGACGGUCCUAUGGAUUGUAAACUGCUUUUAUACAGGAAGAAACACUCCCUCGUGAGGGAACUUGACGGUACUGUAAGAAUAAGGAUCGUUUCGCCAGUCUGUG
This 481-nucleotide ribosomal RNA is filed under the name uncultured bacterium. RNAcentral's name for it is "bacterial SSU rRNA". It matches the Rfam family "Bacterial small subunit ribosomal RNA", at positions 28 to 507 of the family's 1533-position model. The record is from RNAcentral.